Gasterosteus aculeatus aculeatus (three-spined stickleback) is the source of this 1100-nucleotide long non-coding RNA. The record is from Ensembl. Lineage: Eukaryota; Metazoa; Chordata; Actinopteri; Perciformes; Gasterosteidae.
GGGGGGGUGGCGGAAAAGAAAAGAGAGCACUUUGCAAGCCACCCAGGCUUCAUUACCCCGUCAAUCUGAAGAGAGAGAGAUAGAGAGGGAGAAACAGGCCGGCCAGGGCCCAGCAGUGGGGCCGGAUCCAUAUGGUGCUGCCGGCUCUGGAAUGAAUAGUGAAUGGAGCGGCUGGGCGCUGGGCUGCUGGAAUCUGCCUCCAAGCCUUUGUGAACAGGAUGACCAAAGACAAGAGGGAGCUCUGCAGAUGGCCAGGGCUAUAAAUAGAUGCAGGAGAGGGUGUGAGACUGAAAGCGCGUGAGUGUGGUCUGCACUGCAGGGGGGGGCUGCUCAAACACAAGCCGGGGAACGCAGGGAGAUUGAGCAGUUGUGUUUUCGGUCCAAACUUCUCGCAGAUGGACUUUAAAGUGCACAAAUCGCCUGGUCGGCCACAGAUGCGAUGCCUUGGCUCGACUUGAUGACAUCACUCUGCUUCUCCGUUUGGGUCGAUCGCGCAGCUUCUGGAAACCUGGAACCUCUGGAAACAAUUACUGCUAGCGGCAGACUUUGUUCGAUAUCUGAAUUAAACAGAAAUUAAACCAAGCUUUUAUUGAUUGAUUAUGGGAAUGUGACUUAAGACAGACCUUGAGGUGCUUUUUUUGUGAAGAAAACUCCUUUUAAGAGCCUUUUCCAGAAGAGGCCCCCUGUUCAAACUCCAGCAGACACUUUGUCCCUGUGACUUCCCCCCUAGAAGACAAUACACAGCGGAGACCGAUUCAUUCGUGUGACUUAUCUGGCUUAUCAGUGCUGUGAAAAUAAGAAAUACAGUGUUUAUCAGCUGGUGUGUUUUUUGUUUUGGUGCGUGGCAACAGUCAUUAUCCAUCACAGUGGUGUUGUGUUGUGUCACAGCAACCCGGAGGUUGUCAAGUGUCUGUGACUACAGCUGCAGGGCUCACGCCGAAGAAUUACGAAGCUUCCGCAGAUAUUUUUAUAUCUGCGCUGCGGCGCCCUGAUGUAAGUCGAGAAGAAGGUCCUGAUAUUGCAACACUCAUUAGAAGGGUGGAGGUGUGAUUAUAAUGAGUUAUUACAAAGAUUAAAAGACACAUUCUCUACUUGUUUUG